AAGAUGACUUUUUACAAGAACUUCAAAGGGUAAGACUUCUUCUUCAUUUAUCUUCUAUCUCUACCAUGAUAGGUGUAGCAUCCCCGAAUCCGGGUCCCAAAUCGCCGCGGAUCCGGUACGCUAAUUCUAUAACUAUUGCGAAAGAUAUAAACAUACAUUGUUUAUACAUUAAACUUUACACAUCAGUUCCGAGGUCUACAACCUUAACUUAAUACAUACCUUCAAUAUUAAAAAGGUUUACAAUACUAUUUUCGUCAGAAAAUUUAAUAAAUCUAACUGCAACAUAAAAAAAACUUUGCACUUUGUCUUUGCCUCUGUCCUUAUUCAAGCCUUCAUCUUAAUCUGAAAAUUUUAUCAUGAUAUAGCAAGGGUGAGCAACAAAUUUGCCCAGCAAGUUUUAGAUACAAAGGAGAUAUAUCAUGAUUGAAAAGAAUGGAUAAGUUCAAGUUUUCAACAAUAUAAUAAUUGUGAAAUAACAUGAAUCAAUUUUUUUCAACGAUUGAAUAACUGAACCAAUAAUAAUGGAUGUCAACAAUUAACAUGAACAAGUUUAACUAAAACAUAUGAUAAUGAAGGUGAUCAGCCUUUCAUACCUGAUGAACAUAUACAACAUGCACAAUGUGCGAAUCAAUAAUUUAUUGACGUGGUAUAAUCAACAAUAAUUAACCACUAACAUGCUUUGAAUUAACAACUCAAGUUGAGUUAGGAAACUUGCACAAUGAUUAGAAGUUCAAGUUUAGGAACUUGCCUGUACCGUUGAUUACCGCUAAGCAAUCAAUUUAAUCUCUUAUAAAAGACCUAUCAUUAAUAAGAUCGAUCCUCCAAUUAGCAUAAUACAUUUUAUCCCACAACACUAUUACUCAAAUAAUAAAUUAGCUAACAUUUAGCCACAUAAUUAAAUAUUAACUAAUUCUUUAACUCAUUAGUAAUAUUAUUAUCCCUUAAUAAUAUUACUAUCACUUAUCCAUUAUCUUAAACUUUUGCCUAAUAUUCUUUUUAUAGAAUAUUUAUCAUUUACAAAUAUUAUUAAUCAUUUAAUAAUAUUUAAAUCCUUUACUAAUAUUAUUAAUCAUUUAAUAAUAUUGUAAUCACCUUCUAAUAUUAUUAAUCAUGUAAUAAUAUUUUACUUGUUUCAUAAAUAAUAAAGGUCUCACACAUUUUAAGAUGCAAAUAUUUUACACCUUGAAACUUAAACCAUUUAAAUUUCAUUUUAGAAAUAUCUUUUACCUCUACUCGCAAAUUCGGAGUUUAAACAGCUAAUGUAUAGCUUUUAUAGUAAAAAUCAAUUUACUAUAUUAUUUCUUCACUUUAAAUAACUUUUACUUCAGUUUGUCCGUUCAUGAGUCAACACUGACUAUUGCCUCAUAUAUAAACAUUUUAUCUCACUAGCACAUUCGCUUUAUUUUUCAUUUUACGAUUAUUCGCAUUUUUGCUUCGUUACGUAAAUCUCAGCUCAAAAACUUCAUUUUGAGCACCGAAAACCUCAAAAUAUCAUUUUUAUGAUUAAUACAAUAUUUCAAAGGUUUUACAUUCUUUGUUCCACCACAAAAUAAUUUUUAUAGGCAACUAUAUAUAUAUAUAUAUAUAUAUUUUUCGCUUAAAUAUGUAAUUUAUAUUUAUUACAUAUUUUUAUUGCUUUAUUUAUGCCUGAAAGAAAGUUUCUCGGCAUAAAAUAUUACUUAUAGUCAAAUUUCGCACCAUAAGACUUUAUUAGAUUAUUAUGACUUAUUAUUUCUCUAUCAUAUGCCCAAACACAUAAUAUACUUCAUUGAAUAUCAAUUUCAACAAUUACAUUGAAAAAUAUCAUAAAUCUCUUAUUAAAUCUCCCGUCGAAUAUUAUUAAUUAUGCAAUAAUAUUUUACGCUAAGGUUAUCAACCUUUUAAUAAUAUUCCAAUCAAAUACUACUAAUAAUAUCUCAAUACAAUAUUAUUAGUCAUAUAAAAAUAACUUAAGUCAUUAAUCACAUAAAUAAACAAUUAUUUCAAUUGUUUUCCUUACCGUAAUUAAUAAACUUGUUUAAACAUUUUAAAAUGUCAUAAACAUCACAACACCUUAAACCCGACCCAAAACUUCAUUACAAACUUGCAUAAGCCAUGCUCACGGGUCUCACUUCAUACAUCGCAUUUUUCCUAUUUUUGGACACUUUUGAUUUUCGAAAUAUUUUACCCAGCCUCACUAAAACAGCCAUAACUCUCGCGUUUUAAAACAUUUUUGAGCGAUUCUUGAGCCCACGCGAAGAUAACUUCCAGGGCUACAACUUUUGUCUCACGACAUUUUUCCAAAAUCAUAAUACAUCAGUCCAGAAAUUUACACAAAGGUGGCUGUUCGGGACUUGAGAAACAGUUUUAUUACUCACCUUCCGAACGCCAUAACUACCUCAUCCGGAGUCGGAAUUAGUCCGUUCCGGAGUCUAUGGAAAGCUAAAUCAGAGUACUACAACAUAUCAAAAGCUCAGAAUUUUUAAAGCACAAAAAACUGGACGAAAUUGCCCCUGCCAUAGUCUGCCCCGAAACUGUCCAUAACAUCGGGACUGAUUCGGCUUAAAUAAUUAUUACACCAUGAAAACUCAACAUUUUUCAGGGCUACCACUUGGGUUAACUACUACACACAUAUAUCUAACACCCCUCUUUGACGGUUCACAAAAAGAAGUCAUAGAUUUAAAACGGUAGAUUUUCAAAGUACACAGAAAUUUUGAGUUUCUAAACUAGAAAAAAAUUUAUUUUUCUCUUCUUUUGGUUUCAAACCAAAUCAACCCAAAAUAGCUAAAUCCAUACUAGAAUCAAAGAAAAACACAUAGAUUAUAGGGUUUUAUACACCCAAAUCAAAACUCACUUCCAUAAAAUUACAAAAGAAAUAAUUAGAGGAAAGCUUAGGGAAAGUAAUAAUAUACCUUCUUCUUCAUCUUCUUCUUCAUGGUGAUUUCUCCUCCUUCUUUCUCCCUCAAGGGGGCUGCCGAUCUUUCUACUCCCUCUCUCUUCCCCACGUUUUCUUCUCCCGAUCUCUCUUUCUCUUCUCUUUCUUUUCUUUUCUUAUCUCUUCUUAUCUUCUUAUUUCUAAGCCUUAUCUUUCUUUUUUUUUUUAUAAAAUUCGGCCAAGUGGC
Molecule: long non-coding RNA, 3101 nt
Filed under: Panax ginseng (ginseng)
Lineage: Eukaryota; Viridiplantae; Streptophyta; Magnoliopsida; Apiales; Araliaceae
Description: long non-coding RNA (PGIN_LNC006864)
Source: RNAcentral